AGUGAACGCUGGCGGUAGGCCUAACACAUGCAAGUCGAACGGCAGCACAGUAAGAGCUUGCUCUUACGGGUGGCGAGUGGCGGACGGGUGAGGCAUACAUCGGAAUCUACUUUUUCGUGGGGGAUAACGUAGGGAAACUUACGCUAAUACCGCAUACGACCUACGGGUGAAAGCAGGGGAUCUUCGGACCUUUCGCGAUUGAAUGAGCCGAUGUCGGAUCAGCUAGUUGGCGGGGUAAAGGCCCACCAAGGCGACGAUCCGUAGCUGGUCUGAGAGGAUGAUCAGCCACACUGGAACUGAGACACGGUCCAGACUCCUACGGGAGGCAGCAGUGGGGAAUAUUGGACAAUGGGCGCAAGCCUGAUCCAGCCAUACCGCGUGGGUGAAGAAGGCCUUCGGGUUGUAAAGCCCUUUUGUUAGGAAAGAAAAGCAGCAGGUUAAUACCCCGCUGUUCUGACGGUACCCAAAGAAUAAGCACCGGCUAACUUCGUG
Molecule: ribosomal RNA, 492 nt
Filed under: uncultured bacterium
Lineage: Bacteria
Description: partial 16S ribosomal RNA
Rfam family: Bacterial small subunit ribosomal RNA
Source: RNAcentral